CUAAAAUGAGCCGGAAACACGAGUUGAGAGGAGUGAUCGUUGGAGGGAGGGGUCACACGAACCACACAGCUGCAGUUUUCGGCUGCGUCCUCAACACGCUAAACACGAACACAGGGCAUCAGAGACAAAGACAAACAAACACACUUUUCCCCCCCCCGUUUAAUUCCAUCAUGGAUUCAAGGUUGACAGCAAUGUUGUACUUCUCCAAAUAACAAACUUAAUAUUAAUUCCCCCCCUGGAGAAAAGUGACAUUAGUUUUGCUGUCGGUGGCUGUAACUUCUGAUCAUGGACCACACCAGAUUCGGCUGCCAGGUCUGCCUCGCCACAUUUUACAAGGUGUACGAUUUGAAGACGCAUAUGCAAUCAACUGCACAUCUACAGAAAACCAAAGACAUCUUCAAGAAAGAUCUUUCCAAGGGUAAUGGCAUCUUUCCCCCCAUUGAGUUGCUCAGUCCUCAAGCUAAACUGGAACUCAAACUACCCGUCCUAGCCUUGUCUCUGUGUUUCAGUCAAGAGUUAAAAGGAUUGUUUUACCUGUGCCAUGUCUGUGAGGAAAAGUGUCCAUCACAAAGGAUCCUAUGGCACCUCUCUUCUACCGACCAUGGCAAAAACUACUUUAACUACACAAACCCCAACUCGCUGAGUUUCUCCUGGAUCCCCAGCAAGAAUACAAGAGACCAUUUGAGGCCUGAGGUCACAAAGAAAGCACAAGGAACCGGAGAACUACAGGUUUGUACCUGGAAUCACAACAUCAAAUGUACAUUGGAAUGUUAAAGCAGCUUUAUUCAAUCAUUUCCUGUCAACAAUGGAUCACAUCAGGGGGGGAUUUCUUGAGUG
RNAcentral lists this long non-coding RNA (837 nucleotides) under Cottoperca gobio. RNAcentral describes it as "lncRNA (ENSCGOG00000023278.1)". Lineage: Eukaryota; Metazoa; Chordata; Actinopteri; Perciformes; Bovichtidae. The record is from RNAcentral.